UUUUGAUAAACAAUUAGUACUAUUUUUCUGAACAAUACUACACAUCACUUUUAGAGUGCGUUUGGUUCGUGCUAUCUUUCUAAGAUUUCUAGUAAUUCAAUAGGAAUAAAAAAAUAUGACGGUGUUUAGCUAAACGUACUAAGUAAACUUAUUGGUAAUAUUAGAUUUACUUGGGAAUGAAAUGCAUCCCAAAGUACUAAUCUCAUUCCCUUGAGGGAAGAUGGAUAUUCUCAUAUUAAUGGAUUGGGAUAAUUAUAAUAUGUCUAAUCUCUUUUUUCCUUCCUACCGCCGGCUAGUUGGUAUUAUUUUUCUUUACACUCUAACCUCAUAUCUCUCUCUAANGAUGCCCUACCACAUGAUAGCUUAAGAGAGAUUUUUUUUUUAAAAAAAAAAAAAGAUAACAUACUGUACGUUUUGUUUAUUUUUUAAAAAAUAAAAUUAGCUGAAAAUAUGAAUCAAUUAGGAUUCGAACUUGAGAUCUCAGAUACCAAUGACCAAGUCCUUUGUCAUUUGCACUACGGACGGUCAGUGAUGGCUUAAGAGAUGUUGUGAGAGAGAAACAUCAACAACAGUACUAUUAAACUUGUAUUGCUAAUUUGCUAUGAUCUAUUGAUGCUAUCAAAAUUAAACUAAGGGCAGAGAGAGAGAGAGAGAGAGAGAGAGAGAGAGAGAGAUUGACUGAUAUAUAUGGAAAACACCCAAAAAUAGUAAUGUAGAGAUAGUAGUACCAUACAAAGGUUCUUUCAACACAGGUUGUUACUGUGGUUGAUUAGGUUGGAAUCAUCCUCCAAUAGAACAGCAGAGAACAGAAGCUGUGUUACAUUCCUUUAAAAGAAUGCUUGCAUUUGAAAAUUUUGGUUCCAAUUUGCUAGCUGGUCAGUGUCAGUAGUUGGAUCCACCUUUAAGAACGAGAGAGAGAGAGAGAGAGAGAGAGUAUAUCAUAUAUGUGCCCCUCUACCAACUCCUCAACUAAGGAAAGAAAAAGAGAUGUAUACAGAGUACUAAAUAACUGAGGUAUAGGAUCCAUUAGACUAAUUUUAAUUAAUAAUUAAGCAAAUAAUUGAUAAAUAGGAAGAGUGUAGGGGUGAGAAAAGCCUAAGAUGAGUCACAUGGGAUCUCUAUACUCUUAUUUGUUAUGAUGGAUCCAUCACGUGCUACGAAGUGUAGAAAAAUAGCUAGCUGGAUAAGGUUGGAUAUCUAGCGAAUGCCAUGCGGGAGCCCGGGGUGGCAAUCCCAUUUGGCCUAACUCUUAAAAUUAUUUUUUUACAUUGAUGAAAAGUGAAGCAUCAAAAAUGAUACUUUUAAAAAAUAAGAUCUUAUCUAUUAUUUGAUUUUCAAAGUGAAUAUAAAAAUUACUAUACAAAAAUAGGCUGAUAAAGUAAAUUAUAACUAAAUCUUAUUGUUUUUAAUUUCAGUUUAAAAAAUUCAAAAGUUACCGAAAAUAGAAGCUUAUUUAAGAAUUAAGAGAUUAUAUUUAAUCUUAUCUAUUAUUUGAUUUUCAAAGUGAAUAUAAAAAUUACUAUACAAAAAUAGGCUGAUAAAGUAAAUUAUAACUAAAUCUUAUUGUUUUUAAUUUCAGUUUAAAAAAUUCAAAAGUUACCGAAAAUAGAAGCUUAUUUAAGAAUUAAGAGAUUAUAUUUAAUCUUAACUUUAAUUUUGAAUUUAUUUUUAAAGGUAAAUUUCAUUUUAAAUUUGAAUUAAAAUCAUUAUCACAUUCUGAAAUUUUAUUUGAAAAUUCAAAUUCAACAUAAAAUUUUUUAAUUCAAAUUUGUGACUUUAUAUUUAAAUUUAAAUUUUUAAAUAUUUAUUUUUAUUUAAAUUUGAAUUCUAGAAUUUAAAUUUAAAUUUAAACUUUAAAAUUAAAAUUUUAAUCAAAUUAUCUUUAGCUAAGAACUCCAGUUUGAACUUUGAAUUCAAAUUGUCCCAACCAUAAAUUCAAAUUACUGAUUGAAAUUGAAAUUUAAAUUUAAAUUUAAAUUUAUAUUUAAAUUUAUAUUUUUUUAUUUAUAUUUAAUUUCAAUAUGAGUUUCAAUUUGAGCUUUGAAUUCAAGUUAUGAAUUCAAAUGUUCAACUCAAAUUGUAAUUUAAGCUCAAAUUUUAAUUUAAAUUUAAAUAUUAAUUCAAAUUGUGAAUUUACAUUUGAAUUCAAAAAUUAAUAUUAAAGAGUAAAUUAAAAUAUAUCUCAAAUUAUAAAUUCAAAUUAUGAAUUCAAAUUUUAAUAAAUGUUCUAAUUUCUAUGUUGAACUUUUAUUUUAGAAUUUAAUUUCACUUAUAAGUUAUAACUUAAACAUUAAAUUCAAAUUGUAAAUUUAUGUUCUUAAUUUUUAUUAUAAACUCAACUUAGAUUUAAGUUUUAAAUUUAAAUUGUAAAUUAAUUUGAAUUGUAGAUAUAAAUUUAAAUUUUUUAUUUAAAAUUGCGAGUAUAAGUAGGUUGUUUUAUAUUUUCACCUCUUUAUAUAUAAUUAAAUAAUCAAAAUUACAAAACUUGUUUCAUUUAUAGCCAACCAAACAAUAGAAUUAAAUUGUUUUAACUUCAGCCACUUUCCCCUUACAAAGCAAUAAUCAAAUGUUGAAAAUGGCAAACAAGUUUAAAACUUGUAAAUACGAGACGAAAUAAAAUUCUGAAUCUUAAAGCAGAAAUUCAAAAUUAAGCUUCUACCUUCACUACCAUAAAAAUAUAUAUAUCUUAUUUCCAUCUCAGCAAAUUAUUUUUUUCUAAUCAAUAUUGAUAUACGAGUAUCUUAUCUGUUGAUACGAAGUAUUCCGGUGAUCCUCACGAUCCGAGUCUGAGCUGUUGGAAUUGGAAUAGGUUGACAGUAGAUCACGAAAUUAUGUCUCAACAAUUCGAAUUUAUUUGAAGGAGUGACAUUUUGUUUUUGACCCUCAAUGAGCCAUAGAUCGAACCUAUCCAAUUUUUACAAUGCGCUGGUUGGCUUUUCACGAAUAAUGUAGUAGUCUCAUUAGACGUAAUCUCUCUUGGUAUUUCCGGAUAAUAGGUAGGAACAUAAACUGAAACAUUCUGGAGCUACAACCUUCACCCAAUUUUGAAUUGUCGAAACAAGUAGAUUUUGAUAACAAUUAGUACUAUUUUUCUGAACAAUCAUACACAUCACUUUUAGAGUGCGUUUGGUUCGUGGCUAUCUUCUAAGAUUUCUAGUAAUUCAUAGGAAUAAAAAAAUAUGACGGUGUUUAGCUAAACGUACUAAGUAAAUUAUUGGUAAUAUUAGGAUUUACUGUGGGAAUGAAAUGCAUCCCAAAGUACUAAUCUCAUUCCUUGAGGGAGAUGGAUAUUCUCAUAUUAAUGGAUUGGGAUAAUUAUAAUAUGUCUAAUCUCUUUUUUCCUUCCACCGCGGCUAGUUGGUAUUAUUUUUCUUUACACUCUAACCUCAUAUCUCUCUCUAACUUAUCUUUUUCUCUCUAAACUUCAA
Molecule: long non-coding RNA, 3428 nt
Filed under: Ananas comosus (pineapple)
Lineage: Eukaryota; Viridiplantae; Streptophyta; Magnoliopsida; Poales; Bromeliaceae
Description: long non-coding RNA (ACOM_LNC007968)
Source: RNAcentral